Molecule: ribosomal RNA, 503 nt
Filed under: uncultured bacterium
Lineage: Bacteria
Description: partial 16S ribosomal RNA
Rfam family: Bacterial small subunit ribosomal RNA
Source: RNAcentral
AUUGAACGCUGGCGGCAGGCUUAACACAUGCAAGUCGAGCGGGGUGAUGGUGCUUGCACUAUCACUUAGCGGCGGACGGGUGAGUAAUGCUUAGGAAUCUGCCUAUUAGUGGGGGACAACAUCUCGAAAGGGAUGCUAAUACCGCAUACGUCCUACGAGAGAAAGCAGGGGAUCACUUGUGACCUUGCGCUAAUAGAUGAGACUAAGUCGGAUUAGCUAAUUGGUGGGGUAAAGGCCUACCAAGGCGACGAUCUGUAGCGGGUCUGAGAGGAUGAUCCGCCACACUGGGACUGAGACACGGCCCAAACUCCUACGGGAGGCAGCAGUGGGGAAUAUUGGACAAUGGGGGGAACCCUGAUCCAGCCAUGCCGCGUGUGUGAAGAAGGCCUUAUGGUUGUAAAGCACUUUAAGCGAGGAGGAGGCUCUUUUGGUUAAUACCCAAGAUGAGUGGACGUUACUCGCAGAAUAAGCACCGGCUAACUCUGUGCCAGCCGCCGCGGUAA